Molecule: ribosomal RNA, 95 nt
Filed under: Thermoactinomyces vulgaris
Lineage: Bacteria; Bacillati; Bacillota; Bacilli; Caryophanales; Thermoactinomycetaceae
Also listed under: 1 other name
Source: RNAcentral
GGAUCCACCCGUUCCCAUCCCGAACACGGAAGUUAAGCCCUCCAGCGCCGAUGGUACUUGGGGAUGACCCCUGGGAGAGUAGGUCGUUGCCAGGC